This 422-nucleotide ribosomal RNA is filed under the name uncultured bacterium. RNAcentral describes it as "bacterial SSU rRNA". It matches the Rfam family "Bacterial small subunit ribosomal RNA", at positions 355 to 774 of the family's 1533-position model. The record is from RNAcentral.
UAGGGAAUAUUGGGCAAUGGCCGAGAGGCUGACCCAGCCAUGCCGCGUGCAGGAUGAAGGCUUUCUGAGUCGUAAACUGCUUUUAUCAGGGAAGAAUAAGGCGUGUGCGCACGCUGAUGACGGUACCUGAGGAAUAAGCACCGGCUAACUCCGUGCCAGCAGCCGCGGUAAUACGGAGGGUGCAAGCGUUGUCCGGAUUUAUUGGGUUUAAAGGGUGCGUAGGCGGCUUUUUAAGUCUGGGGUGAAAGCCCGUUGCUCAACAACGGAACGGCCCUGGAAACUGGAGAGCUUGAGUACAGACGAGGGUGGCGGAAUGGAUACUGUAGCGGUGAAAUGCAUAGAUAGUAUCCAGAACCCCGAUUGCGAAGGCAGCUGCCUAGACUGUAACUGACGCUGAGGCACGAAAGCGUGGGGAGCGAACA